RNAcentral lists this ribosomal RNA (2011 nucleotides) under Escherichia coli. RNAcentral's name for it is "partial 23S ribosomal RNA". It matches the Rfam family "Bacterial large subunit ribosomal RNA", at positions 948 to 2925 of the family's 2925-position model. Lineage: Bacteria; Pseudomonadati; Pseudomonadota; Gammaproteobacteria; Enterobacterales; Enterobacteriaceae. The record is from RNAcentral.
UGCAAACUGCGAAUACCGGAGAAUGUUAUCACGGGAGACACACGGCGGGUGCUAACGUCCGUCGUGAAGAGGGAAACAACCCAGACCGCCAGCUAAGGUCCCAAAGUCAUGGUUAAGUGGGAAACGAUGUGGGAAGGCCCAGACAGCCAGGAUGUUGGCUUAGAAGCAGCCAUCAUUUAAAGAAAGCGUAAUAGCUCACUGGUCGAGUCGGCCUGCGCGGAAGAUGUAACGGGGCUAAACCAUGCACCGAAGCUGCGGCAGCGACGCUGAUGCGUUGUUGGGUAGGGGAGCGUUCUGUAAGCCUGCGAAGGUGUGCUGUGAGGCAUGCUGGAGGUAUCAGAAGUGCGAAUGCUGACAUAAGUAACGAUAAAGCGGGUGAAAAGCCCGCUCGCCGGAAGACCAAGGGUUCCUGUCCAACGUUAAUCGGGGCAGGGUGAGUCGACCCCUAAGGCGAGGCCGAAAGGCGUAGUCGAUGGGAAACAGGUUAAUAUUCCUGUACUUGGUGUUACUGCGAAGGGGGGACGGAGAAGGCUAUGUUGGCCGGGCGACGGUUGUCCCGGUUUAAGCGUGUAGGCUGGUUUUCCAGGCAAAUCCGGAAAAUCAAGGCUGAGGCGUGAUGACGAGGCACUACGGUGCUGAAGCAACAAAUGCCCUGCUUCCAGGAAAAGCCUCUAAGCAUCAGGUAACAUCAAAUCGUACCCCAAACCGACACAGGUGGUCAGGUAGAGAAUACCAAGGCGCUUGAGAGAACUCGGGUGAAGGAACUAGGCAAAAUGGUGCCGUAACUUCGGGAGAAGGCACGCUGAUAUGUAGGUGAAGCGACUUGCUCGUGGAGCUGAAAUCAGUCGAAGAUACCAGCUGGCUGCAACUGUUUAUUAAAAACACAGCACUGUGCAAACACGAAAGUGGACGUAUACGGUGUGACGCCUGCCCGGUGCCGGAAGGUUAAUUGAUGGGGUUAGCGCAAGCGAAGCUCUUGAUCGAAGCCCCGGUAAACGGCGGCCGUAACUAUAACGGUCCUAAGGUAGCGAAAUUCCUUGUCGGGUAAGUUCCGACCUGCACGAAUGGCGUAAUGAUGGCCAGGCUGUCUCCACCCGAGACUCAGUGAAAUUGAACUCGCUGUGAAGAUGCAGUGUACCCGCGGCAAGACGGAAAGACCCCGUGAACCUUUACUAUAGCUUGACACUGAACAUUGAGCCUUGAUGUGUAGGAUAGGUGGGAGGCUUUGAAGUGUGGACGCCAGUCUGCAUGGAGCCGACCUUGAAAUACCACCCUUUAAUGUUUGAUGUUCUAACGUGGACCCGUAAUCCGGGUUGCGGACAGUGUCUGGUGGGUAGUUUGACUGGGGCGGUCUCCUCCUAAAGAGUAACGGAGGAGCACGAAGGUUGGCUAAUCCUGGUCGGACAUCAGGAGGUUAGUGCAAUGGCAUAAGCCAGCUUGACUGCGAGCGUGACGGCGCGAGCAGGUGCGAAAGCAGGUCAUAGUGAUCCGGUGGUUCUGAAUGGAAGGGCCAUCGCUCAACGGAUAAAAGGUACUCCGGGGAUAACAGGCUGAUACCGCCCAAGAGUUCAUAUCGACGGCGGUGUUUGGCACCUCGAUGUCGGCUCAUCACAUCCUGGGGCUGAAGUAGGUCCCAAGGGUAUGGCUGUUCGCCAUUUAAAGUGGUACGCGAGCUGGGUUUAGAACGUCGUGAGACAGUUCGGUCCCUAUCUGCCGUGGGCGCUGGAGAACUGAGGGGGGCUGCUCCUAGUACGAGAGGACCGGAGUGGACGCAUCACUGGUGUUCGGGUUGUCAUGCCAAUGGCACUGCCCGGUAGCUAAAUGCGGAAGAGAUAAGUGCUGAAAGCAUCUAAGCACGAAACUUGCCCCGAGAUGAGUUCUCCCUGACUCCUUGAGAGUCCUGAAGGAACGUUGAAGACGACGACGUUGAUAGGCCGGGUGUGUAAGCGCAGCGAUGCGUUGAGCUAACCGGUACUAAUGAACCGUGAGGCUUAACCUUACAACGCCGAAG